UACAGAGGUCCCAAGCGUUGUUCGGAUUCACUGGGCGUAAAGGGUGCGUAGGUGGCGGGGUAAGUCGGAUGUGAAAUCUCGGAGCUCAACUCCGAAAUGGCAUUGGAAACUACCCUGCUAGAGGGUCGGAGGGGGGACUGGAAUACUUGGUGUAGCAGUGAAAUGCGUAGAUAUCGUGAGGAAGACCAGUGGCGAAGGCGGGUCUCUGGACAGUUCCUGACGCUGAGGCACGAAGGCCAGGGGAGCAAACGGG
This 253-nucleotide ribosomal RNA is filed under the name uncultured bacterium. RNAcentral describes it as "partial 16S ribosomal RNA". It matches the Rfam family "Bacterial small subunit ribosomal RNA", at positions 524 to 776 of the family's 1533-position model. The record is from RNAcentral.